This is a long non-coding RNA of Onychomys torridus (southern grasshopper mouse), 890 nucleotides long. RefSeq lists it as uncharacterized. The transcript has 3 exons. NCBI's taxonomy places the organism in Eukaryota, Metazoa, Chordata, Mammalia, Rodentia, Cricetidae. The record is from RefSeq and is a predicted model, not a curated record.
UCCCCAUCCACUACACACCUUGACCGGUUGUCCGUUGCUGGUCCGCAAGAGGCUCUGGUCGUCCGCCUCGAUUCCAAAAGCCACAAAAGGGCCCGUGGCGAUGUCCCCCCAGUACCCGCGCGCUGCUACGCGUUCCCCACGCUGGGAAAAAAAAAAAACCACAGAGAGAUGAGAUCGCAGGUGAGGUCCAAAUUGGGGACCUUGGCUCAUAGGUUGACCUAAAUAAAAGAUGCAGAGCAAGCCUGGGAGUAGACACGCACGUGGCUCAGGAGGCGACCCGACGCCAGGGUCCUGUUGGGCACGUGGUAAGCACUGGCGUCUCUGAGUUCAAAGGCAACACCUGUGUCCCGCCAGCGUCGGAAUUCCUGGAUGUGGAUGACCUGGGCCUGGAAUAGAGGGUGGGAAAGAAGGCCCUGGACUCAGACGCUGGCCACCUGCUCCAAGCCUUCCUCACCCCUCGAUCCUGCAGCUUCAUGCGCAGAUCCCAGUCGGCAACACCACGCCGGGCAUCAUAGCGGGAACCCAGCCACCCAAUUGCAGGCCAUGCUCCCUCCAGCCCAGAGGUGGGUAGAUCUGGCACCUUGAGAGGCCGGAGGCUGAGCCAGGGUAGUUGCUCCUCCAGGCGAUCCGGUUCAGGGACCAGAUGGGCCAGGCGGCUAGACUGGGCGCGCACAAAGGCAGCUACUGGGGGUCGCAGCAGCGCGUUCCCCCACAGCUCCAGGAAGGUCUCACAUCGCUCUGGAGGGAGGUGGGAAGGAUGAAGCAGGAGGAAAGACAUGGCAAACAUCACCAGUUCAGGAACUGCAACCACCGCCCAGCAUUGCCGAUCGAAGCUGGGACUUCACAAAGGCAAGGCAAGCUGACCUAUCUCCUCAAGUCUCUUUUCACAU